This 714-nucleotide ribosomal RNA is filed under the name uncultured Actinomycetales bacterium. RNAcentral describes it as "bacterial SSU rRNA". It matches the Rfam family "Bacterial small subunit ribosomal RNA", at positions 65 to 791 of the family's 1533-position model. Lineage: Bacteria; Bacillati; Actinomycetota; Actinomycetes; Actinomycetales. The record is from RNAcentral.
AACGGAAAGGCUCCAGCUUGCUGGAGUACUCGAGUGGCGAACGGGUGAGUAACACGUGGGUAAUCUGCCCUGCACUCUGGGAUAAGCCUGGGAAACUGGGUCUAAUACUGGAUAUGACCUUUCUCCUUAUGGGGUUUAGUGGAAAGUUUUUCGGUGUAGGAUGAGCCCGCGGCCUAUCAGCUUGUUGGUGGGGUGAUGGCCUACCAAGGCGACGACGGGUAGCCGGCCUGAGAGGGUGAUCGGCCACAUUGGGACUGAGAUACGGCCCAGACUCCUACGGGAGGCAGCAGUGGGGAAUAUUGCACAAUGGGCGGAAGCCUGAUGCAGCGACGCCGCGUGAGGGAUGACGGCCUUCGGGUUGUAAACCUCUUUCAGCAGGGACGAAGCGUAAGUGACGGUACCUGCAGAAGAAGCACCGGCUAACUACGUGCCAGCAGCCGCGGUAAUACGUAGGGUGCGAGCGUUGUCCGGAAUUACUGGGCGUAAAGAGCUCGUAGGCGGUUUGUCACGUCGUCUGUGAAAUCCUAGGGCUUAACCCUGGACGUGCAGGCGAUACGGGCUGACUUGAGUACUACAGGGGAGACUGGAAUUUCUGGUGUAGCGGUGGAAUGCACAGAUAUCAGGAAGAACACCGAUGGCGAAGGCAGGUCUCUGGGUAGUAACUGACGCUGAGGAGCGAAAGCAUGGGUAGCGAACAGGAUUAGAUACCCUGGU